CUGGCUCAGGAUGAACGCUAGCGACAGGCUAACACAUGCAAGUCGAGGGGCAGCAUAAAAGUAGCAAUACUUGGUGGCGACCGGCGCACGGGUGGGUAACGCGUAUGCAACCUACCUAUCAGAGGGGAAUAACCCGGCGAAAGUCGGACUAAUACCGCAUAAAACAGGGGCACCGCAUGGUGAUAUUUGUUAAAGAAAUUCGCUGAUAGAUGGGCAUGCGUUCCAUUAGGUAGUUGGUGAGGUAACGGCUCACCAAGCCGACGAUGGAUAGGGGAACUGAGAGGUUGGUCCCCCACACUGGUACUGAGACACGGACCAGACUCCUACGGGAGGCAGCAGUGAGGAAUAUUGGUCAAUGGGCGAGAGCCUGAACCAGCCAAGUCGCGUGAAAGGAAGAAGGAUCUAUGGUUCGUAAACUUCUUUUGCAGGGGAAUAAAGUGCAGGACGUGUCCUGUUUUGUAUGUACCCUGAGAAUAAGGAUCGGCUAACUCCGUGCCAGCCGCAGC
RNAcentral lists this ribosomal RNA (506 nucleotides) under uncultured bacterium. RNAcentral's name for it is "bacterial SSU rRNA". It matches the Rfam family "Bacterial small subunit ribosomal RNA", at positions 19 to 518 of the family's 1533-position model. The record is from RNAcentral.